Molecule: small nucleolar RNA, 98 nt
Organism: Callithrix jacchus (white-tufted-ear marmoset)
Lineage: Eukaryota; Metazoa; Chordata; Mammalia; Primates; Cebidae
Source: Ensembl
AACCAAAACCUAAGCAUGACAAUUAGGUUUUCAUGCUAUUGUGUGAUAUGCGCCUUCCUUAAAACUUGCUAUGAUAUCAUCGCAUCACCCAUCUGAUG